This is a non-coding RNA of Labrus bergylta (ballan wrasse), 271 nucleotides long. The record is from RefSeq and is a predicted model, not a curated record. NCBI's taxonomy places the organism in Eukaryota, Metazoa, Chordata, Actinopteri, Labriformes, Labridae.
UCUGGACCAUGUCCCCUGUUUUUUUUUUUUGGGGGGGGGAGGAUAAUUGUUUCUUGCCUGUUCCCCAUGGACUGUGUUACUGUUACUUCGUACUUACUGGGAAACAACAUCCUGGAAAUUCGGACUGCACAAGAAAAGAUGGAUCUGAGCCCCAUCAAGGAGUGUGAUUGACUGUCGACCUGUCUGCUUUGUCAGCUGGGAUCCAAUCCAACCCCCUAUGACCUCCAAAAGAGUAAGCUGGGAUGAACGCAUGAUGGAUUGAUGGAACAUU